GACGAACGCUGGCGGCGUGCUUAACACAUGCAAGUCGAACGGAAAGGCCCCCACUUUUUUGGUGGGGGUGCUCGAGUGGCGAACGGGUGAGUAACACGUGGGUGAUCUGCCCUGUACUUCGGGAUAAGCUUGGGAAACUGGGUCUAAUACCGGAUAGGACCAUGGUUUAGUGUCUCAUGGUGGAAAAAUUAUUGUUUUGGUGCAGGAUGAGCUCGCGGCCUAUCAGCUUGUUGGUGGGGUAAUGGCCUACCAAGGCGUCGACGGGUAGCCGGCCUGAGAGGGUGGACGGCCACAUUGGGACUGAGAUACGGCCCAGACUCCUACGGGAGGCAGCAGUGGGGAAUAUUGCACAAUGGGCGCAAGCCUGAUGCAGCGACGCCGCGUGGGGGAUGACGGCCGUCGGGUUGUAAACUCCUUUCGUUAGGGACGAAGCCGCACCUUUUUGGGGUGUGGUGACGGUACCUUUGUUAAGAAGCACCGGCUAACUACGUG
RNAcentral lists this ribosomal RNA (492 nucleotides) under uncultured bacterium. RNAcentral describes it as "partial 16S ribosomal RNA". It matches the Rfam family "Bacterial small subunit ribosomal RNA", at positions 28 to 507 of the family's 1533-position model. The record is from RNAcentral.